UACGUAGGGUGCGAGCGUUGUCCGGAAUUAUUGGGCGUAAAGAGCUCGUAGGCGGCGUGUCGCGUCGGGAGUGAAAGCCCGUUGCUUAACGGCGGGUUGGCUUUCGGUACGGGCAUGCUGGAGUGCGGCAGGGGAGACUGGAAUUCCUGGUGGUAGCGGUGAAAUGCGCAGAUAUCAGGAGGAACACCGGUGGCGAAGGCGGGUCUCUGGGCCGAUACUGACGCUGGAGGAGCGAAAAGCGUGGGGGAGCGAAACAGG
RNAcentral lists this ribosomal RNA (258 nucleotides) under uncultured bacterium. RNAcentral describes it as "partial 16S ribosomal RNA". It matches the Rfam family "Bacterial small subunit ribosomal RNA", at positions 524 to 776 of the family's 1533-position model. The record is from RNAcentral.